GAAGUCGAGUUGUUUGGGAAUGCUGCUCAAAAUGGGAGGUAAACCCCUUCUAAAGCUAAAUAUUGGCCAGAGACCGAUAGCGCACAAGUAGAGUGAUCGAAAGAUGAAAAGCACUUUGAAAAGAGAGUUAAACAGCACGUGAAAUUGUUGAAAGGGAAGCGCUUGCGACCAGACUUGCGCCCGUCGGAUCAACCGUCGCUUGUCGGCGGCUCACUCCGGCGGGCUCAGGCCAGCAUCAGUUUUCCCGGGGGGAGAAAGGCGGUGGGAAUGUAGCUCCUAGGAGUGUUAUAGCCCGCCGCGUAAUACCCUCGGGGGGACUGAGGACCGCGCAUCUGCAAGGAUGCUGGCGUAAUGGUUGUCAGCNACCCGUCUUGAAACACG
This 381-nucleotide ribosomal RNA is filed under the name Acaulium albonigrescens. RNAcentral describes it as "LSU rRNA". It matches the Rfam family "Eukaryotic large subunit ribosomal RNA", at positions 259 to 663 of the family's 3401-position model. Lineage: Eukaryota; Fungi; Ascomycota; Sordariomycetes; Microascales; Microascaceae. The record is from RNAcentral.